GUCUAUGGCCAUACCACCCUCAACGUGCCCGAUUUCAUCUGAUCUUGGAAGCUAAGCAGGGUUGGACCUGGUUAGUACUUGGAUGGGAGAACGGUUUGGGAACAGGGGCAGAGGGUC
Molecule: ribosomal RNA, 117 nt
Filed under: Castor canadensis (American beaver)
Lineage: Eukaryota; Metazoa; Chordata; Mammalia; Rodentia; Castoridae
Source: RNAcentral